This 253-nucleotide ribosomal RNA is filed under the name uncultured bacterium. RNAcentral describes it as "partial 16S ribosomal RNA". It matches the Rfam family "Bacterial small subunit ribosomal RNA", at positions 524 to 776 of the family's 1533-position model. The record is from RNAcentral.
UACGUAGGUGGCAAGCGUUGUCCGGAUUUACUGGGCGUAAAGAGCGCGCAGGCGGCCAAGUCAGUCGAAUGUGAAAGCCCCCGGCUCAACUGGGGAGGGUCAUUCGAUACUGCUCGGCUCGAAGACAGGAGAGGGAAGUGGAAUUCCCGGUGUAGUGGUGAAAUGCGUAGAUAUCGGGAGGAACACCAGUGGCGAAGGCGACUUUCUGGCCUGUUCUUGACGCUGAGGCGCGAAAGCUAGGGGAGCAAACAGG